This 442-nucleotide ribosomal RNA is filed under the name uncultured Polyangiaceae bacterium. RNAcentral describes it as "bacterial SSU rRNA". It matches the Rfam family "Bacterial small subunit ribosomal RNA", at positions 8 to 490 of the family's 1533-position model. Lineage: Bacteria; Pseudomonadati; Myxococcota; Polyangiales; Polyangiaceae. The record is from RNAcentral.
AGAGUUUGAUCAUGGCUCAGAGCGAACGCUAGCGGCGGGCCUAACACAUGCAAGUCGAGCGCGUCACUUCGGUGACGAGCGGCGGACGGGUGAGUAACACGUAGGUAAUCUGCCCUGCGGUGGGGGAUAACCAGGGGAAACCUUGGCUAAUACCGCAUAUGGCCUUCGGGUCAAAGCCUUCGGGCGCCAGAGGAUGAGCCUGCGUCGCAUUACCUAGUUGGUAGGGUAAUGGCCUACCAAGGGGACGAUGCGUAGCUGGUCUGAGAGGAUGAUCAGCCACACUGGGACUGAGACACGGCCCAGACUCCUACGGGAGGCAGCAGUGGGGAAUAUUGCGCAAUGGGCGAAAGCCUGACGCAGCCACGCCGCGUGGGUGAUGAAGGCCUUCGGGUUGUAAAGCCCUGUCUGGAGGGACGAAGUUCUGACGGUACCUCCAAAGAAG